This 1004-nucleotide long non-coding RNA is filed under the name Strigops habroptila (Kakapo). Its description in RNAcentral is "lncRNA (ENSSHBG00005020117.1)". The record is from RNAcentral. Lineage: Eukaryota; Metazoa; Chordata; Aves; Psittaciformes; Psittacidae.
GAUAGCAGUUUUUGCUAAAGUAUAAAAACUAGUGAAUUUGUACCCUGUGUACAGUAUUGCAGCAAACACUUUAAAUUGGGUUGGUUGGUUAGUCCAGCAAACUUUCUGGGUUCAUAUAUUGCACUAAAAUUCUGUUGAACCUGUGGCAGGCACAUUCCUUAGGAUAAAUGCAACAAAUACAGCCCACAGAUUAAAAUUAAAAAAAAAAGGCAAAACAAAAAAAAAAGAAGUUUUUAAUGUGUUUCAUUAUUAAAAGGCAAAAUGUCAUUAAAAGUGACAGGUGAAAUUGUCUUAUGUAGCAAUGUGCAUUGAUCUCAAUGAGAUAUUUCUAUUAUUCUCUUACAUGAGAAUAUUACAGCAGGAAAAAUUAAGUUUAGUUUGCUUCACCAUGUUAAUACAUGAUCACAAAACGUGCAUGAGUGUUAAUGACUUAAUCUUGUACAGUACUAGAUAUAUUCCUGUAACCACUUUUUUUUUUUUUAUUCUUUUGCUGUAUUGAACUGGUUCAGUGUUAACCAGGUGAGCAUAGUUAUUCACAAGUUAUUUACUUUUUUAUGUUAACUACUUCAGCUUAGUUCUUGUUGAAUAUGUUCCUUUCUUGGAUUAUUUUUUAUUGUUCUGGUGUUGAAAAACAUUUUUGCAUCAUUUUAUCAUGAUAAGAAUUCAUGAAGUAAAUAAUUUGCAAAUAAUUGCAAUAAGCACUGACUUCUGAACUGAAAAGAAGGAAAGCGUUUCUUGUGCAGUGCAUCUGAGGUUCAUAUAAUAGUCUUGUACUAUACUGUGCUUUAUUUACUGCACCGUAAGGAAAGAAAAAUCCCUGUUCCACGUUUUCAUUUAGUGCAGGAAAUCCAGUUUCUUCCCUCUUUCCCCAGUGUUUUGUUGUCUGUUGUACUGCUGAAACUACAGUAGUUGAAUAUUGCAGUAGCAUUUCAGUUAUUUUUUUUAUUGAAAGUGCUCAAAAAUUGUUUUUUAAAUGUUUUCAAAAACAAUAAAAACAUUUUAUA